AAAAAAGGUAAGCUACUAAGAGCGAAUGGUGGAUGCCUUGACUGGUAAAGGCGAUGAAGGACGUACUAGACUGCGAUAAGCUACGGGGAGCUGUCAAGAAGCUUUGAUCCGUAGAUUUCCGAAUGGGGCAACCCAAUGUAUAGAGAUAUACAUUACCUAUAUAGGAGCGAACGAGGGGAAUUGAAACAUCUUAGUACUCUCAGGAAAAGAAAUCAAUAGAGAUUGCGUCAGUAGCGGCGAGCGAAAGCGCAAGAGGGCAAACCCAGUGCUUGCACUGGGGGUUGUAGGACUGCAAUGUGCAAGAGGUAAGUUUAGCAGAACAUUCUGGAAAGUAUAACCAUAGAGGGUGAUAGUCCCGUAUGCGAAAAACAAACCUUAGCUAGCAGUAUCCUGAGUAGGGCGGGACACGAGGAAUCCUGUCUGAAUCCGGGUCGACCACGAUCCAACCCUAAAUACUAAUACCAGAUCGAUAGUGCACAAGUACCGUGAGGGAAAGGUGAAAAGAACUGAGGUGAUCAGAGUGAAAUAGAACCUGAAACCAUUUGCUUACAAUCAUUCAGAGCCCUAUGUAGCAAUACAGGGUGAUGGACUGCCUUUUGCAUAAUGAGCCUGCGAGUUGUGGUGUCUGGCAAGGUUAAGCAAACGCGAAGCCGUAGCGAAAGCGAGUCUGAAUAGGGCGCUUAGUCAGAUGCUGCAGACCCGAAACGAAGUGAUCUAUCCAUGAGCAAGUUGAAGCUAGUGUAAGAACUAGUGGAGGACUGAACCCAUAGGCGUUGAAAAGCCCCGGGAUGACUUGUGGAUAGGGGUGAAAGGCCAAUCAAACUUCGUGAUAGCUGGUUCUCUCCGAAAUAUAUUUAGGUAUAGCGUUGUGUCGUAAUAUAAGGGGGUAGAGCACUGAAUGGGCUAGGGCAUACACCAAUGUACCAAACCCUAUCAAACUCCGAAUACCUUAUAUGUAAUCACAGCAGUCAGGCGGCGAGUGAUAAAAUCCGUCGUCAAGAGGGAAACAACCCAGACUACCAGCUAAGGUCCCUAAAUCUUACUUAAGUGGAAAACGAUGUGAAGUUACUUAAACAACCAGGAGGUUGGCUUAGAAGCAGCCAUCCUUUAAAGAAAGCGUAAUAGCUCACUGGUCUAGUGAUUUUGCGCGGAAAAUAUAACGGGGCUAAAGUAAGUACCGAAGCUGUAGACUU
RNAcentral lists this ribosomal RNA (1193 nucleotides) under Campylobacter jejuni. RNAcentral's name for it is "bacterial LSU rRNA". It matches the Rfam family "Bacterial large subunit ribosomal RNA", at positions 1 to 1209 of the family's 2925-position model. Lineage: Bacteria; Pseudomonadati; Campylobacterota; Epsilonproteobacteria; Campylobacterales; Campylobacteraceae. The record is from RNAcentral.